GGGACUAUUGCUCCCUAGAAACUCAUAUUUUUAUCCCUUUUUAAAAAAAAUAAAAAAAAAAAUCAAAGAAGACUUUCAUUAGAUAAACUUCAAUAAUACAUACUAAACCCAAAAGGGCAUUGAAAUGAACAAACUAAAAAAGCAAAACUAAAGCGGACAAACUUCGCAGCAACAACUACUAUAGCACACAUCACCACCAUAUGCUUUUUGUCUACCUACAUUUUCUAUUUU
This 231-nucleotide long non-coding RNA is filed under the name Prunus persica (peach). RNAcentral's name for it is "long non-coding RNA (PPER_LNC006285)". Lineage: Eukaryota; Viridiplantae; Streptophyta; Magnoliopsida; Rosales; Rosaceae. The record is from RNAcentral.